GACGAACGCUGGCGGCGUGCUUAACACAUGCAAGUCGAACGGUGAACCUCUACGGAGGGGAUCUGUGGCGAAGGGGGGCGUAACACGGGGGCAACCUGCCCCCGGCUCUGGGUUAAGUGGAAGAAAUUGGGGCUAAUAUCGCACGUUCACCGCAUCCCGCCUGGGGGGGGGUGGAAAGGAUUUUCGGCUCGGGCUGGGCUGGCGGCCCAGCUGCUGGUUGGUGGGGUAGUGGGAGACCAAGCCGACGACGGAUAGCCGCCCUGGGAGGGGAGACGGCCACAAUGCGACUGAGGGACGGCGCAGACUCCUACGGGAGGCAGCAGUGGGAAAUAUGGCGCAAUGGGCGGGAGCGUGAGGAAGAGGCGCCGCGUGGGGAAUGACGGCCUUCGGGUUGUGAACCGCUUUCAGCUGGGACGAAGCGCAAGUGACGGUACCUGCAGAAGAAGCACCGGCUAACUACGUG
Molecule: ribosomal RNA, 463 nt
Filed under: uncultured bacterium
Lineage: Bacteria
Description: partial 16S ribosomal RNA
Rfam family: Bacterial small subunit ribosomal RNA
Source: RNAcentral